GAGGGGAGUGAGGUGACAAAACAGGAGAACAGACAGGGAGCCAUUAGGCUGGGAGAGCAUGGUAGGACUGACACAGAGAGCUGAGGGGUUCUCUGUGUCAGAGAAGUUCAACAUAGCCAGGCUUUCUUUCGCUGCAGUACCAGUAGCGUAAAAAGGACUUGGCAGCAAAUCAGGACCAAGCAUAAAAACAUCCUCCAAAGUGGAGGAGAUCAAUGAUGAGGAGACACUGUCUGGACACUCAGGGAUGGCUGUGAGGGAAGAGGAAAAUAUGCAACACUCCCCUGAGCCUGUGGCCUCCACCUCUAGGCCUUCAAGAAUGCAAAGGGUUGGAGCAGACAAUGUGAGGGUCCUAUACAAAAGGAACCUGGAGCUGGACAAUAUUAAAAAAGAACAAGAAAUCAAAAAGCUCAAAUUGGAAAUUGAGCAACUGGAGAAGGUAUUGCAGUAAAUGGUAU
This is a long non-coding RNA of Thunnus maccoyii (southern bluefin tuna), 455 nucleotides long. RefSeq lists it as uncharacterized. The record is from RefSeq and is a predicted model, not a curated record. NCBI's taxonomy places the organism in Eukaryota, Metazoa, Chordata, Actinopteri, Scombriformes, Scombridae. The transcript has 5 exons.